GCCCCAGUAAACGGCGGCCGUAACUAUAACGGUCCUAAGGUAGCGAAAUUCCUUGUCGGGUAAGUUCCGACCUGCACGAAUGGCGUAAUGAUGGCCAGGCUGUCUCCACCCGAGACUCAGUGAAAUUGAACUCGCUGUGAAGAUGCAGUGUACCCGCGGCAAGACGGAAAGACCCCGUGAACCUUUACUAUAGCUUGACACUGAACAUUGAGCCUUGAUGUGUAGGAUAGGUGGGAGGCUUUGAAGUGUGGACGCCAGUCUGCAUGGAGCCAACCUUGAAAUACCACCCUUUAACGUUUGAUGUUCUAACCUAGGCCCAUAAACUGGGUCGGGGACCGUGUCUGGUGGGUAGUUUGACUGGGGCGGUCUCCUCCUAAAGAGUAACGGAGGAGCACGAAGGUUGGCUAAGCAUGGUCGGACAUCAUGCGGUUAGUGCAAAGGCAUAAGCCAGCUUGACUGCGAGAGUGACGGCUCGAGCAGGUACGAAAGUAGGUCUUAGUGAUCCGGUGGUUCUGAAUGGAAGGGCCAUCGCUCAACGGAUAAAAGGUACUCCGGGGAUAACAGGCUGAUACCGCCCAAGAGUUCAUAUCGACGGCGGUGUUUGGCACCUCGAUGUCGGCUCAUCACAUCCUGGGGCUGAAGUAGGUCCCAAGGGUAUGGCUGUUCGCCAUUUAAAGUGGUACGCGAGCUGGGUUUAGAACGUCGUGAGACAGUUCGGUCCCUAUCUGCCGUGGGCGUUGGAAGAUUGAGAGGGGUUGCUCCUAGUACGAGAGGACCGGAGUGAACGCACCACUGGUGUUCGGGUUGUCAUGCCAAUGGCAUUGCCCGGUAGCUAAGUGCGGAAGAGAUAACCGCUGAAAGCAUCUAAGCGGGAAACUUGCCUCGAGAUGAGUCUUCCCUGUCGCUUUAAGUGACCUAAAGGAACGUUUAAGACUAAGACGUUGAUAGGCUGGGUGUGUAAGCGUAGCGAUACGUUGAGCUAACCAGUACUAAUGAACCGUGAGGCUUAACCUGACAACACCGAAGGUGUUU
This 1032-nucleotide ribosomal RNA is filed under the name Proteus mirabilis. RNAcentral's name for it is "partial 23S ribosomal RNA". It matches the Rfam family "Bacterial large subunit ribosomal RNA", at positions 1917 to 2925 of the family's 2925-position model. Lineage: Bacteria; Pseudomonadati; Pseudomonadota; Gammaproteobacteria; Enterobacterales; Morganellaceae. The record is from RNAcentral.